UUUUGUGAAACCCUAAUUGUAUCUCCUUCUCCUUCUCCUGUACACUUCUUUCUUCUAAUACAAUCUCCUGUACUCUUCUCCCUUCCCAGUCCGUCAUCGAAACCCUCAAGGUAAGUUUGAAAUUAACUUCAACGCGGAUUUUAUUCGCCACCACGACGUUUGAUUUACUAACAUUCAUCUAAUAUCUGAGUAUGUUCAACGCGGAUCUUAUCCUGUUGGCCUUUGUGCUUAGCGAGGCAAGAAUGAAAUUUGUAGGGUUUGAUGAGUCAACAGGCUCUGCUCUUACACAAGGAUUUCAAAUCGACCACUCUUUCCAUUUCUUGGAAUCAUUAAAUGAGGAUGUGAAUACUGAAUACCGAGAAAGGCCUCCAGCGACAUAUUUCCUCGACUACUUUUAUUUCCCGAGGGAACUACAACCAACAGAAGGCUGCUUAUUAAUUUCCAACAUGAUGUGUUUAUUCCCGGUUAUCCUAUUCAACCGGUGGUUGUUCGUUAUCCACAUGUACAUUUUGAUCAAUCCUGGGGUCAUAUAUCUUUGGGGACACUCAUGCUUAGAAUGUUCACACAGUUUCACAAUUUCAUGGAGGUAUGCUUCUUUAGCAGCCUCUUUACGAUUUUAUUCUGUUGACUAUAGAAAAAAGUCAUCACAUUUUAUUAGAGGUAUGAUGUUUUUGGUUGCAAUUGUACUCUCUAAUAUUGUUACAACGAUAUCACUGACAUAUGCACAAGAGGUGCGGACUUCACAGGUAGGGGUGUUUACUGGAUUUUCUUCGGGUUUUGGGUUUUUCGGGUCGGGUAGUUCUGGUUUUUGUCUAGAGAAAACUGACCUGAUAAUCAACCCAUUUAAAAUUCGGGUUAGUAUUGUUUGGAUCGUUCAGGUCGGGUUGUUUGAUUUUGAGUUAUAGAUGUAAAAUGAAAAUAAAUGUUAUUUUUUUUACAAAUAUAAUCAAAAUUCAUAUUGUUACUUUAAAAAUAUUAUCAAAGUUAUUAUGAUAUUUAAAAGUUUCAAAACUUAAUGUUCUAUAUAUUAAAGAGUCCAUACCAAGAUGACAACUUUUGGGCUGUAGGAUCACUUUUAUUUGCAGUUUACGUUUCUGUUGAGUUUCGGUUCACCUUUUUUUGUGACAACGAUUGGUUGUCAUAGUGAUCUAAGAUGAUGACGAAACGAUGAUGUUUGAAGUUGCUAAAGGGGCUACGAGACAAAAUUGGAGAUGACGGGUUCAGAGUCAAGGGACUUCGAGAUAGAAUUGGAGAUGGCGAGUUCCGACCGACUCAGGUAAGUUCCGUGAUUGAAUAUUAAAUAUUAAAUAUUUUUUUUAAUAAAAACUUCUGUAUUUGUUUGUAUAUUUAUUUUUGUUUUCAGUUUUUUAACCUUGUAGUAAUAUAUAUUUACCUUAGUGACUUGCUUGGUUUUAAAAAGCGUGAGGCGCACAAAAGCGACGAGGUCUAAAACUGAGGCGCAAAGCGUAAAAGCGGUGGGCUUUUCGUACCCGAGGCGCAAAGUGAUUAUAUAAUUUUUUAUAUAUAUCAUAUAGGUUUUUAGCAUUUCUUAUCCAAAUUAUAGCUAUAAAUAAGGUUUAUAUAUAAUUUAACCCAUAACUACAAGCUAAAAAACUUAUUGCACAACAGUUUGAUGCUUAACAAACAGCAUAAAAAUACCCUAUGUACAUGAGGCGCGCGCCUCAGGCCUUGGGGCUUUUUGUAAAAAGCGCGCCUCGGGCUACCUAAGGCGCCAAGGCUUUCAUCACAUACUUGGGUAGCAAACAUGGAUGUUGAAUUGGUAUUGGGUUCCAUGGAUACUUUGCAAGCAAGAUGAUGCUUCUGAUCCUAUUUUAAGCCCGAUCCGACACGUUCACAUGGUCGGAUAUUUGGUUUUGGGCAGAAAGUAUUCUUAAUAUGAAUAUAUAUACUUUUUUCGACUUUUCACCCAAGAAGUUAGAAGCCUUACAAGCCCGCAAUUUGGACCAAGGUUUCGACUAACGGGUAGACUUGAACAAAACUGAGAUUAUAUACAUCUUGGCAAUGUAUUUAUAGGUAUUAUGGUCUCUUGCCCCAUUGCUGAGGUGGGGGUGGAUCCUCUAAUGUUCAUUAAGUAUUGAAACUCCAAUUCAAGUAAGGUUUCUAAUUUAUGCAGUACCACAUUGUUAUUUUCCAGAACUUUAAUUUGUUUCAGUUUAAUUUAUGCAGUCCCGCACUACUGUUGAUAUGAAACUGCUCAAGUAACAUAGAAUUUUUGAACUCUUUGAAUUAAUGUUCAGGUUUUUGUUCAUCCAUCUUUUUGAAUAUCUUGCUGACGUCAUCCAGGUUAACAAAUUAAAUGAUGAAAGAAUUUGGAGAAAAUGUUUUCGUGUUUGGUUGUUGAUUCGGCGUUGAGUAUGUAACUACUGUGAACCUUUCUACUCCAAACAAGUCGAAUAAAGAAAACUUAACGGGUUUAAUGGGUUUGCACAAAGUAUUAUUCUAACGCGUAUAAGUAUAUAACUUCUGUUUAAUUAAAAACUUGAAUUAUUUAUCGCAUUAAUUACUGAUGCUAGAAAAUCUGGAUUUUUUUAUAAAAGUUUAUGACUCAGACACUACAUAUUGGCAGGCUCAGGAGAAUUCAAAGAAAGGAUGGGGACGUGGCUGUGGUAAAUCAAAGUCACGCACCCUGACCCACGGUACUUUUGGGCUUCUUGCACCAUCCCGGCAUACAAGCAGGUCAGCACAUUUGGAUGCAUCACCAAUGAGACAUCACUGUUCGGAAGGCCCAAGAAUGCCAGAUGGGACACAGGGUAAUACAAUGGGAAGAAGGAAACCUGUUCUAACAGGUUUACCAUAAGUCUGUGUUUAGAGACUUGAGAAAUCACCAAACGGAUUUUGUAAGCUGGUGUGGAGAAUGCCAAUAGGAGAUGAGAGAACGUGUUUAUCAUGUUGUCACGGCAAAAAAGAAUGGAGUUGUUUAGAGAUUCGAGAAGAAUUUGCUUCUUGAAAAGAUAGUGGAAUCAGUUUGCUAUUGUUUUGUUGCUAGAUCAAUGUACUUUUAGAUUAUUUCUCUAAAAUUUUAAAAGCUUAUUCUUCAAGAUCGUGAUCACGAUGAAUGUGACAAUCACCUCGCGAUCCAGUGACAAUCAGAGGGAUGAAAAUGUUUCCGGUUACCAUCUUUGAUGUAUAAAUUUUUGUUUCAAUGAAUUUAAAGUGGAUGUGUGAAUUAGAAA
This is a long non-coding RNA of Helianthus annuus (common sunflower), 3194 nucleotides long. RefSeq lists it as uncharacterized. NCBI's taxonomy places the organism in Eukaryota, Viridiplantae, Streptophyta, Magnoliopsida, Asterales, Asteraceae. The transcript is spliced from 7 exons. The record is from RefSeq and is a predicted model, not a curated record.